AUCACGACCCUUUCAUGUGAAAUCUUUAGUGUUGUGAGUCCUUAAAAGAGACAGAAAUCGUGCAUUCGGGGAGCUCGGAUUUUAAGACAGUAGCUUGCCGACGUUCCCAGCUGAAUAAAGCCCUUCCUUCCACAACUCAGUGUCUGAGAGGUUUUGUCUGCAGCUCGUCUUGCUACAAUACCACAAUCUACUCUAUCAGCUGUCCAUCAAGAAUUCAAUGACUACUUAUUGCAUCCCAAGAGUUGAUGUUCCAGUCAUGUCAUCUGGGGAGAGAACUCUGAUGAAAUUCCGGAAGUCCGUUGUGCUGUGCGUUCUCUUGUCCCUAAUUCAUCUCUUCAUCAGCCUCUGCCAGUGAGAUCUCUGGAUAACUGUGCCUUAGAGCUACGGUUGCCUGUGGGAAACAGAAAAGGGUUAUCAUUAAAGGAGCAUCUGUUAGAGGGGUGUUCUUGUUCUGUUUUUGUUUUCUCAGCUUCUCUAUUUGGUGUCCAUUCAUCACAAGGCAAAUUAUAUUAACUAUGUGUUCUUAUUUUCUGUAUUCUUUAUGAUCUGGCAUUUGGGAACAUCAGACCCACUAUAGACGCAGGGAGAGACUGCCCCUUCCAGGGUUAGCUAAUUGUUAAAUACAGCAACUUGUGUAAAAGCAUGCCUUUCAUAUGCAAGCCAACCACUCUCUUUAUCUCACCCUCACACACCAAGCCAAUAUUCUUCUGCUCUAAAUCAUCCCAAGCCUAGGUAUCAGACAACUAGGGACAGCCUCUAUCCCCCGAAGCCCACCAGAAUUACUGAAUCUAACCAAUCCUAACCCAUGCACCUUGUCCUGUCCUGCCUUUUCCACAGGAAUCCCAAUACAGACUCCGACUAAGGCUUCCCUUUUACUCUUAUCUUCUGUCUCUGGACCAUCUUGUGUCCCUGUGAGGUCUGACAUGUACCCUUCGUUUGUGAAAUGUAAGCAAUAAGUUCUUCUCUUAAUGGAAUUCGCCUCUUCAUGUUGUCACUCAGUCAUACUUCUAUAAAUUAAAACCUGGGU
This 1027-nucleotide long non-coding RNA is filed under the name Homo sapiens (human). RNAcentral's name for it is "HSALNT0272003". The record is from RNAcentral. Lineage: Eukaryota; Metazoa; Chordata; Mammalia; Primates; Hominidae.